GGAGGCUUAGCUCAGCUGGGAGAGCAUCUGCCUUACAAGCAGAGGGUCGGGGGUUCGAUCCCCUCAGCCUUCACCA
RNAcentral lists this transfer RNA (76 nucleotides) under Paenibacillus macerans. RNAcentral describes it as "tRNA-Val". It matches the Rfam family "tRNA". Rfam says of the family: Transfer RNA (tRNA) molecules are approximately 80 nucleotides in length. Their secondary structure includes four short double-helical elements and three loops (D, anti-codon, and T loops). The record is from RNAcentral. RNAcentral also lists the same sequence under 1 other name. Lineage: Bacteria; Bacillati; Bacillota; Bacilli; Caryophanales; Paenibacillaceae.